CGUAGACAUUCGCUAAGAACGAGUUUUACAAAACUUGACCCCUAAGGGGGUAAAACGGGGUUUGGAAGUUUGUAUGAAAGUCCUAUGUUUUUGAAGUAAGAGACUUGAAAUUUAAAAUGUAUGCUCUAUAGAUGGCGAGGAAGUGUCCAAAUAAUACAUCGUAAUCUAUAUAUAUAAAAGAGAAAGGUCACUGAUUGACAUCACGAGAACUCAAAAACCGCUGGA
This 225-nucleotide unclassified non-coding RNA is filed under the name Melitaea cinxia (Glanville fritillary). Its description in RNAcentral is "misc RNA ENSMCXG00005016706.1". Lineage: Eukaryota; Metazoa; Arthropoda; Insecta; Lepidoptera; Nymphalidae. The record is from RNAcentral.